Molecule: long non-coding RNA, 1034 nt
Filed under: Monodelphis domestica (gray short-tailed opossum)
Lineage: Eukaryota; Metazoa; Chordata; Mammalia; Didelphimorphia; Didelphidae
Description: lncRNA (ENSMODG00000029854.2)
Source: RNAcentral
GUUACAGGAGAGACAACUUAAGAAUCAUUAGUCUACCAGAAGACCAUGACAAAAGAAAAAGCCUGGAUGUCAUACUACAGGAAAUUAUCCAAGAAAACUGCCCCCAUAUUCUAGAACAAGAGGAAAAAGUGGAGAUUGAAUUAAUCCACAGAUCACCUCCUGUACUUAAUCCCCAACUGACAACACCCAGGAAUCUUAUAACCAAAUUUAAGAACUAUCAGACCAAGGAAAAAAUAGUACAAGCUGCUAAGAAGAAGUCAUUCAGAUACCAAGGAAUUACAGUGAGGAUAACACAGGAUCUGUCUGCAUCUACACUGAAGGACUGAAAGGCAUGGGAUAUGAUAUUCCAGAAAGCAAAGGAAGUAGGUCUACAACCAAGAAUCAACUACCAGCAAAACUGACUAUAUUCUUACAAGGGAAAGUAUGGUCAUUUAACAAAAUAGAAGAAUUCCAAGAAUUUGUAAAGAAAAGACCAGACCUGAACAGAAAAUUUGAUGCCCAAACACAGAACUCAAGAGAAUCAUCAAAAGUUAUCAUGGUGAUGUUGAGGACUAACGGAAGACACACCUGGGAAAGGAGAGUAUUUAUACUGUUGAGGUUUCAUAAAGGUAAUUUGGAUUUUUUUUUGUCAGCAAAAAGUGGAUAGAGGUUAGAGCUGCAUAUUAAAUUGAUAGUAAAUUGCAGUAGAGGGAGAAAGAGAAAAAUAUUUAAGACUAGAUUCCUUCUGACAGAUGUACUCAUAAAAAGUCCCAAGCUGCAAGUGGGGAAAGUAUGGUAUGAUUUAUUUUCACUUUCAAAUCUCUUUCUUCCAUUCUUUCAGUGCUGGGAUUUGAAAAGAAAAACCAAGUCCUUGAACAGAGGGAGUUGAAAGACAGAAAGCCUUACUAUCCAAAGAAAGGGUCGGGGAUUUCAUCUGCAGGAUGCUCAGAUGGUGAAUGACUGAAAGCUCAGAAUAUGUAGCUCCCUGGCAUUGCCAGCUCCUUACAUGUCUAAUGUGGUGUUGUUUUAAAUAAAUAAAUAAUCUACAUAUUACA